UCCCAGGUGAUCCAGUGGUUAGGACUCAGCACUUUCAAUGCCAAGGGCCCGGAUUCAAUCUCUGGUCAGGGAA
Molecule: transfer RNA, 73 nt
Filed under: Capra hircus (goat)
Lineage: Eukaryota; Metazoa; Chordata; Mammalia; Artiodactyla; Bovidae
Also listed under: 1 other name
Rfam family: tRNA
About the family: Transfer RNA (tRNA) molecules are approximately 80 nucleotides in length.
Source: Rfam by way of RNAcentral